This 29-nucleotide non-coding RNA is filed under the name Cricetulus griseus (Chinese hamster). The record is from RNAcentral. Lineage: Eukaryota; Metazoa; Chordata; Mammalia; Rodentia; Cricetidae.
GUGGAUGCAGCACCUGUUGCAAGUGGAUC